UCCCGGAUGUUAGCGGCGGACGGGUGAGUAACACGUGGGUAACCUGCCUGUAAGACUGGGAUAACUCCGGGAAACCGGAGCUAAUACCGGAUAGUUCCUUGAACCGCAGGGUUCAAGGAUGAAAGACGGUUUCGGCUGUCACUUACAGAUGGACCCGCGGCGCAUUAGCUAGUUGGUGAGGUAACGGCUCACCAAGGCGACGAUGCGUAGCCGACCUGAGAGGGUGAUCGGCCACACUGGGACUGAGACACGGCCCAGACUCCUACGGGAGGCAGCAGUAGGGAAUCUUCCGCAAUGGACGAAAGUCUGACGGAGCAACGCCGCGUGAGUGAUGAAGGUUUUCGGAUCGUAAAGCUCUGUUGUUAGGGAAGAACAAGUGCAAGAGUAACUGCUUGCACCUUGACGGUACCUAACCAGAAAGCCACGGCUAACUACGUGCCAGCAGCCGCGGUAAUACGUAGGUGGCAAGCGUUGUCCGGAAUUAUUGGGCGUAAAGGGCUCGCAGGCGGUUUCUUAAGUCUGAUGUGAAAGCCCCCGGCUCAACCGGGGAGGGUCAUUGGAAACUGGGAAACUUGAGUGCAGAAGAGGAGAGUGGAAUUCCACGUGUAGCGGUGAAAUGCGUAGAGAUGUGGAGGAACACCAGUGGCGAAGGCGACUCUCUGGUCUGUAACUGACGCUGAGGAGCGAAAGCGUGGGGAGCGAACAGGAUUAGAUACCCUGGUAGUCCACGCCGUAAACGAUGAGUGCUAAGUGUUAGGGGGUUUCCGCCCCUUAGUGCUGCAGCUAACGCAUUAAGCACUCCGCCUGGGGAGUACGGUCGCAAGACUGAAACUCAAAGGAAUUGACGGGG
This 850-nucleotide ribosomal RNA is filed under the name Bacillus sp. (in: firmicutes). RNAcentral's name for it is "bacterial SSU rRNA". It matches the Rfam family "Bacterial small subunit ribosomal RNA", at positions 83 to 918 of the family's 1533-position model. Lineage: Bacteria; Bacillati; Bacillota; Bacilli; Caryophanales; Bacillaceae. The record is from RNAcentral. RNAcentral also lists the same sequence under 1 other name.